This 215-nucleotide unclassified non-coding RNA is filed under the name uncultured fungus. Its description in RNAcentral is "partial contains 5.8S ribosomal RNA, internal transcribed spacer 2, and large subunit ribosomal RNA". Lineage: Eukaryota; Fungi. The record is from RNAcentral.
AACGCACAUUGCGCCCCCUUUAACCGGGAGGCAUGCCUGUCUGAGCGUCGAUUUUAACCAUAAACCAUCUCUGGUUUGUCCUGGGCCUUGCGUCACGGCAUCGCCUCGAAGGAAUCAGUCUCUUGAGCGGACAGGAUCCUGUAGGGCUGACCGUUCUCUGACUCUAAAGAUCUCGACCCGACCUCAGAUCAGGUAGGACUACCGCCUGAACUUAA